UGGAAUGAGGUGACGAUGUCCAUUAACUGUCUCGAUAAGGAUUUUGUGGAAGAGGAUGAUAGCGAAGCCACCCUAUGGCCUAUGACAGUGACCUUCCUCACUCUGUUCCUGCUCAGCAUGUUCUACAAUACCACAGUGACCCUCAUGAAGACCAAGUCUGGCCCAGCCAUCAAGUACUAAGCCUCUAAGCAAGCAAGGCUCCUGGCCUUGGUGAGAUCCCUGCUGGAUAUGCAUGAGACAUCAAAGACAUCAGUAUGGACCAAAGUCUACUGGACAAGUAGCAGCUCCCAGUGACACAGUGACAACCAAUCCCCAUCCUCAUCCUUCCUCUAUUCCUUGGGCCAUAGUGCUUCUGUACAAUAAAGAUGGAGUCUUUCCUCCA
Molecule: non-coding RNA, 382 nt
Organism: Monodelphis domestica (gray short-tailed opossum)
Lineage: Eukaryota; Metazoa; Chordata; Mammalia; Didelphimorphia; Didelphidae
Source: RefSeq, a predicted model, not a curated record